AGGAAGUAAAAGUCGUAACAAGGUUUCCGUAGGUGAACCUGCGGAAGGAUCAUUACUGAGUCGUCGACACGAGUUGUUGCUGGUCCUCGGAAGGGGUCACGUGCACGCUCUGUUUACACAUCCACUCACACCUGUGCACCCUCUGUAGUUCUAUGGUCUGGGGGGCCCUGCCUCCCUUCCGUGGUUCUGCAUCUUUACACACACACUGUAAUAAAGUCUUAUGGAAUGCGCACCGCGUUUAACGCAAUACAAUACAACUUUCAGCAACGGAUCUCUUGGCUCUCGCAUCGAUGAAGAACGCAGCGAAAUGCGAUAAGUAAUGUGAAUUGCAGAAUUCAGUGAAUCAUCGAAUCUUUGAACGCACCUUGCGCCCCUUGGCCAUUCCGAAGGGCAUGCCUGUUUGAGUAUCAUGAACACCUCAACUCUCAUGGUUCGCCAUGAUGAGCUUGGACUUUGGGGGCUUUGCUGGCCUAUGGUCGGCUCCUCUCAAAUGAACCAGCUUGCCAGUGUUUGGUGGCGUCACAGGUGUGAUAACUAUCUACGCUUGCGAUUGUCCACCAGGUAACCUUCAGCAGUGGAGGUUCGCUGGGGCUCAUAGACGUCUCUCCUCAGUGAGGACAGCUUUUUUAACGUUCGAUCUCAAAUCAGGUAGGACUACCCGCUGAACUUAA
This 671-nucleotide ribosomal RNA is filed under the name uncultured Thelephoraceae. RNAcentral describes it as "eukaryotic LSU rRNA". The stretch from base 256 to 410 matches the Rfam family "5.8S ribosomal RNA". The record is from RNAcentral. Lineage: Eukaryota; Fungi; Basidiomycota; Agaricomycetes; Thelephorales; Thelephoraceae.